Mus musculus (house mouse) is the source of this 129-nucleotide long non-coding RNA. RefSeq lists it as uncharacterized. The transcript is spliced from 2 exons. NCBI's taxonomy places the organism in Eukaryota, Metazoa, Chordata, Mammalia, Rodentia, Muridae. The record is from RefSeq and is a predicted model, not a curated record.
UCAGCUGCUGCUGUGUUUGGGACUGACCCUAGUCUGUGUCCAUGCAGAAGAAGCUAGUUCUACGGGAAGGAACUUUAAUGUAGAAAAGAUUAAUGGGGAAUGGCAUACUAUUAUCCUGGCCUCUGACAA